Molecule: ribosomal RNA, 240 nt
Filed under: Triticum aestivum (bread wheat)
Lineage: Eukaryota; Viridiplantae; Streptophyta; Magnoliopsida; Poales; Poaceae
Description: partial small subunit ribosomal RNA
Source: RNAcentral
AUGGCCGCCGUCUCCGCCAAGUCCAUUGCUCUCCUCGCCGCGGUGGUGCUCGUGGCGCUCGUUGCGUCGGCGGCGGGGAGGAUUGUGGACCGGGAGGAGGAGUUCUUCCUGGGCAGCCUCGCCCCCUCGCUCGCCCCGGCGCCCGCGCCGGCGGCGGUGGUCGGCGCAGCAGGCGCCGUCGCGCCCGGGGCGUGGGCCGUGGCCGCCGUCGUCUCGCUCCUCGCCUUCCUCGCUCACUGA